Molecule: ribosomal RNA, 820 nt
Filed under: Scoliquadracus longipetiolatus
Lineage: Eukaryota; Metazoa; Arthropoda; Arachnida; Trombidiformes; Diptilomiopidae
Description: partial large subunit ribosomal RNA
Rfam family: Eukaryotic large subunit ribosomal RNA
Source: RNAcentral
AAAUAGAACUUUGCAGAGAGAGUUAAGAGGGCGUGAAACCGUUAAUUGGCAAACGAAUCGGAGCCACGAAGUCGGUUCGGGUGAGAGGAGUUCAGUGGGUCGAGCAAUCGAUUUAUGUAUUCUCCCUCUCUCUGUAAUCGUACACUGCAACCAGUUAGGUGGAUGGUGGAAAGGAAUGAUACUUGGGUUAGUAGUAGUGUGGUCUUGCUUCGGCUUUAUCAUGCUGCUGGGCUCAGGUAGGUGAACUACCAUCCAGUACUGACUGGCACAAUGAAAGAUGCCUAUGGCGUUCUUAUAAUGCGGUAUUUACACUAGCGGCUACAAAUCGGACCAUGUGGUCUAAGCUUGGCAUCUUUGAAUUUGGACUUGCUGGCUACCAGUGGGGCAACUCCUGGUGCCAGUAUAGCUUCAUCUAAUCGGGUGUUGACUUGGCCUUAUGCGCUCUUGUUUGCUAUGAUCAGUUGUUAGUGCAAGAUAUUUGCGAUUAAUUGGCAGUGAGUAGGUCGGCUUUCCGAACGACCCGUCUUGAAACACGGACCAAGGAGUCUAAUUAGGCAUCAAGUCGAUCGGUCUUGAAUAGGCCAGAGAAGGCGUAGAGACAUGUGAUGGUUGCUAAUGCAAACCCGCAACAUGUGCCUGUUGGUAUGGGUGUGUCCUCGGCCACCUCAGCGGAGCAAAGAGAUGCCUGAUUGGUACCCGAAAGAUGGUGAGCCUGGGCAAAUUGAAGCCAGAGGAAACUCUGGUGGAGGAUUGUAGCGAUUCUGACGUGCAAAUCGAUCGUCAGACCUGGGUAUAGGGGCGAAAGACUAAUCGAACCAUC